RNAcentral lists this ribosomal RNA (661 nucleotides) under uncultured bacterium. Its description in RNAcentral is "bacterial SSU rRNA". It matches the Rfam family "Bacterial small subunit ribosomal RNA", at positions 140 to 788 of the family's 1533-position model. The record is from RNAcentral.
GGGAUAACACUUGGAAACAGGUGCUAAUACCGUAUAACACUAUUUUCCGCAUGGAAGAAAGUUGAAAGGCGCUUUUGCGCCACUGAUGGAUGGACCCGCGGUGCAUUAGCUAGUUGGUGAGGUAACGGCUCACCAAGGCCACGAUGCAUAGCCGACCUGAGAGGGUGAUCGGCCACACUGGGACUGAGACACGGCCCAGACUCCUACGGGAGGCAGCAGUAGGGAAUCUUCGGCAAUGGACGAAAGUCUGACCGAGCAACGCCGCGUGAGUGAAGAAGGUUUUCGGAUCGUAAAACUCUGUUGUUAGAGAAGAACAAGGAUGAGAGUAAAACGUUCAUCCCUUGACGGUAUCUAACCAGAAAGCCACGGCUAACUACGUGCCAGCAGCCGCGGUAAUACGUAGGUGGCAAGCGUUGUCCGGAUUUAUUGGGCGUAAAGCGAGCGCAGGCGGUUUCUUAAGUCUGAUGUGAAAGCCCCCGGCUCAACCGGGGAGGGUCAUUGGAAACUGGGAGACUUGAGUGCAGAAGAGGAGAGUGGAAUUCCAUGUGUAGCGGUGAAAUGCGUAGAUAUAUGGAGGAACACCAGUGGCGAAGGCGGCUCUCUGGUCUGUAACUGACGCUGAGGCCCGAAAGCGUGGGGAGCGAACAGGAUUAGAUACCCU